AACGUAGGGUGCAAGCGUUGUCCGGAAUUACUGGGUGUAAAGGGAGCGCAGGCGGACCGGCAAGUUGGAAGUGAAAACUAUGGGCUCAACCCAUAAAUUGCUUUCAAAACUGCUGGCCUUGAGUAGUGCAGAGGUAGGUGGAAUUCCCGGUGUAGCGGUGGAAUGCGUAGAUAUCGGGAGGAACACCAGUGGCGAAGGCGACCUACUGGGCACCAACUGACGCUGAGGCUCGAAAGCAUGGGUAGCAAACAGG
RNAcentral lists this ribosomal RNA (253 nucleotides) under Gemmiger formicilis. RNAcentral's name for it is "partial 16S ribosomal RNA". It matches the Rfam family "Bacterial small subunit ribosomal RNA", at positions 524 to 776 of the family's 1533-position model. Lineage: Bacteria; Bacillati; Bacillota; Clostridia; Eubacteriales; Oscillospiraceae. The record is from RNAcentral. RNAcentral also lists the same sequence under 3 other names.